CAGUGAGGACUAGGCUUUUCCCGGUUGGAUCCUACACGCUGUGGCCACCUUAUUGUCUCCUUUUUGGGUCGUAUGCCUGCGCCCUGCGUACCGCCUAAGGGACUGAAGGCCAAGCCAGCGUCUUCCCUUGGCUUCAGUGGCCCUGCUGACCAAGUGCUGACUGCCACAGCCAGGGACGGUUCUGCAGCAGAGCCUCGGGACCUUCCCGUGCCGCGGUUGGCCGCUCCCAGACCCACGGUGGCUCGGAAAAUGCUCUCUCCUGUGCCCGCGGUGUGCUGGUUCAACGUUUGAGACCUGCAGCGAGCAGGGGAAACCCUGAUCUCUACCUUUUGCACAUGUUGGUGUUACACACACACACACCCAUCCCAGUUGAUACCAAGUGACCACCAGUUUCACACUUGUUCACAAGAAUUCCUGAAAGUUUAAUGAUCUGGUCGUGCUAUGAGCCACCCCAGCCGCGCAGACCCUGUGUGCCAGGGACUCGCAUACUAAGCAGCUAUGUGUUAGGAGGUGAUGAGGUCUAUGAGGAGAGAAAAUACAGAGCAGGCAGGGAUAGACUCAGGUUUUGUAGAAGCAGAAGCUCAUACAAUUUGAGGAGCCCACUCUGAGAAAAAGCAUUAAAAAUGACAAAUUCGA
Molecule: long non-coding RNA, 636 nt
Organism: Suricata suricatta (meerkat)
Lineage: Eukaryota; Metazoa; Chordata; Mammalia; Carnivora; Herpestidae
Exons: 2
Source: RefSeq, a predicted model, not a curated record